This 650-nucleotide ribosomal RNA is filed under the name Bacillus velezensis. RNAcentral's name for it is "bacterial SSU rRNA". It matches the Rfam family "Bacterial small subunit ribosomal RNA", at positions 822 to 1471 of the family's 1533-position model. The record is from RNAcentral. Lineage: Bacteria; Bacillati; Bacillota; Bacilli; Caryophanales; Bacillaceae.
GUUAGGGGGUUUCCGCCCCUUAGUGCUGCAGCUAACGCAUUAAGCACUCCGCCUGGGGAGUACGGUCGCAAGACUGAAACUCAAAGGAAUUGACGGGGGCCCGCACAAGCGGUGGAGCAUGUGGUUUAAUUCGAAGCAACGCGAAGAACCUUACCAGGUCUUGACAUCCUCUGACAAUCCUAGAGAUAGGACGUCCCCUUCGGGGGCAGAGUGACAGGUGGUGCAUGGUUGUCGUCAGCUCGUGUCGUGAGAUGUUGGGUUAAGUCCCGCAACGAGCGCAACCCUUGAUCUUAGUUGCCAGCAUUCAGUUGGGCACUCUAAGGUGACUGCCGGUGACAAACCGGAGGAAGGUGGGGAUGACGUCAAAUCAUCAUGCCCCUUAUGACCUGGGCUACACACGUGCUACAAUGGGCAGAACAAAGGGCAGCGAAACCGCGAGGUUAAGCCAAUCCCACAAAUCUGUUCUCAGUUCGGAUCGCAGUCUGCAACUCGACUGCGUGAAGCUGGAAUCGCUAGUAAUCGCGGAGCAGCAUGCCGCGGUGAAUACGUUCCCGGGCCUUGUACACACCGCCCGUCACACCACGAGAGUUUGUAACACCCGAAGUCGGUGAGGUAACCUUUAUGGAGCCAGCCGCCGAAGGUGGGACAGA